UNCCCAGGUCUGCCUUCUUCCUAGCC
This 26-nucleotide non-coding RNA is filed under the name Mus musculus (house mouse). Lineage: Eukaryota; Metazoa; Chordata; Mammalia; Rodentia; Muridae. The record is from RNAcentral.